CACAAGCAAGGAAUUCCAUUCUUGUAAAUUGGUCAUUUUUCCAUGCCAUGGUCUUUUUGCCUUGCAAAGCCUUCCAUCUUGCCUUGCCAUAAACCAAGUCUUGCCUUACAUUGCAUCAUACCACACACCUAGCAACCAACCAAGGCAAACAUGAUACAAUAACAAGACCAUGCACAUUCAUAGAACCAACCAACCAAGCCACAUGACUAUGUACAUUAAGGCAUGACCAACCAUUUGCAAAAUUCACCAAAACAAGAGCUUACCAAAUACAUCAUGUUAUAAGUUUCUGCAAGCAACAUACAACCCUUACCCUAUAGUAUUCCUUGCAUC
This 330-nucleotide long non-coding RNA is filed under the name Lathyrus oleraceus (garden pea). RNAcentral describes it as "Pisum sativum (pea) long non-coding RNA (PSAT_LNC031941)". The record is from RNAcentral. Lineage: Eukaryota; Viridiplantae; Streptophyta; Magnoliopsida; Fabales; Fabaceae.